This 105-nucleotide transfer RNA is filed under the name Candidatus Woesearchaeota archaeon. Its description in RNAcentral is "tRNA-Arg". Lineage: Archaea; Nanobdellati; Candidatus Woesearchaeota. The record is from RNAcentral.
GGACCGGUAGCGCAGCCUGGAUAGCGCACACCAACAUAGGAAAUCCUACUUGGGCACAGUUCCCUCCUAAGGAAGGGGUCGUGAGUUCGAAUCUCAUCCGGUCCG